RNAcentral lists this long non-coding RNA (589 nucleotides) under Actinidia chinensis (golden kiwifruit). RNAcentral's name for it is "long non-coding RNA (ACHI_LNC001441)". The record is from RNAcentral. Lineage: Eukaryota; Viridiplantae; Streptophyta; Magnoliopsida; Ericales; Actinidiaceae.
AACAAUGUUGUUUGAGAAUUUGAGAUUAAAUGCCCAGCAUUCUUGAAGUGUAGAUGGUUCUAGUUAUCUGAUAUGGCUUAGUUCGACUACCCUGGCCAAUAAUGAACUCAUCAAUUUGGGAGAUUAAUUUUAGUACUUUACUGUUGAACACUACUACAACUCAAAUGUAAAAAUGCCUUCUUCAUAAUCUCGAGAUCUUUCCUAACAGUAACAGCUCGUUCCUGCUCCAUGUUGUGGCUUGUGUGUGAUUCUAGAAAAUAAUAAGAUGGUGACCUACAUACACACCCAAAAAUUACAUGUAUAUCACUGGAUUGGGCUAGGGCAACCCAAAUGUCUGGGGCCAGCCCUGAUAUCACACAUUCACACCAGAGCAAGAAGAAGCAGGAGGCCAUACUAAAACAAAUUUCAUUCAUUCUACAGAAUGAGAGAGAAGAGAUUGAGAGAGAGAGUCUUACAUGUGAAUUCGUCGUCUUUAGAGUUUAAUGAGAGAGAGACUUGUGGUACUACUGGUGAAGAACAGAAGAAGAAAACAGAUUAGGCCCAACAAGAAACCCUAACCCGUUGAUGGAGGAAUUACGGCGACUUGUCU